GAUGAACGCUGGCGGCGUGCCUAAUACAUGCAAGUCGAGCGAACGGACGAGAAGCUUGCUCUUCUGAUGUUAGCGGCGGACGGGUGAGUAACACGUGGAUAACCUACCUAUAAGACUGGGAUAACUUCGGGAAACCGGAGCUAAUACCGGAUAAUAUUUUGAACCGCAUGGUUCAAAAGUGAAAGACGGUUUUGCUGUCACUUAUAGAUGGAUCCGCGCUGCAUUAGCUAGUUGGUAAGGUAACGGCUUACCAAGGCAACGAUGCAUAGCCGACCUGAGAGGGUGAUCGGCCACACUGGAACUGAGACACGGUCCAGACUCCUACGGGAGGCAGCAGUAGGGAAUCUUCCGCAAUGGGCGAAAGCCUGACGGAGCAACGCCGCGUGAGUGAUGAAGGUCUUCGGAUCGUAAAACUCUGUUAUUAGGGAAGAACAUAUGUGUAAGUAACUGUGCACGUCUUGACGGUACCUAAUCAGAAAGCCACGGCUAACUACGUG
This 497-nucleotide ribosomal RNA is filed under the name uncultured bacterium. RNAcentral describes it as "partial 16S ribosomal RNA". It matches the Rfam family "Bacterial small subunit ribosomal RNA", at positions 28 to 507 of the family's 1533-position model. The record is from RNAcentral.